GGAGGCUGAACUCCUUCCGUCGCGAUGCCUGAAGGGCAGCUUUGCGGGCUAGCAGCAGAUAACAUGUGUUAAUGCCUCGAUUCCCAUGUGAGCCCCCCGUCUUUCACGAGGAGCUUAAACUGAGCUAAAUUCAGCCUGUGUGUGCGGCUCUUUGUGGAGACUUGAUUACGGUGAUGCUUCUGCUUGUUUGGAGGGUGCCUGAAGUCUGCUGGGGUGCUCCGCUGCGAAGCCGGGUGAGCUCUCCCCACGUGUCCGUGGUCCUCCAGGCUGGGCUGCCUGCCCGUGGGCUGUUCUCCGCUCUGCAGGAAUUGCUGCAUCUCCGUAGCCCUCUGAUCCCUACUGAGGAUCUUUUCAAGGUGAAGUGUCCUCUUGAAAUGGAGAGAGCCUUUAAAUAAGGAUGAUGGCCAUUUCUUCCUGGCUUUGGCACCAGGUACUAGUGUACUCUGUCCAGUCUUGAGAUGGCACCAUGCCUGUCCCGAAGAGUUUGGUCUUGGAAAUGAGAUAAAUCCUAUUUCACAGAAACUGGUAAAAAUAAAACUGUUGAGGACUGAUUUGUUUCUAUAGCAACAGACUACUAAUACAGCUUCUCUUUGCAGAAGGGCAAAAAACAUAAAAUGAAACGUUAGUCCACCUGGGACUGUAGCUGUCAGCAAAAGAAAAAUCUUCGGUAGACCAGCGAAGGGGGGUAGGAGAAACGUCCUGGUUAAAGAAAGACAGCGCUCUAAUGCAAUUCAUUGCCUGGAUGUUCGUCAUGUCAGGUGCACGUUUUUUUAACUGAAUUAAAAAAAAUGACUUUCUGAGCUGUAGUGAGGCAACCAUGACUUGCAUAAGAAAUGCUCAGGGUUUAUCAGGGGAUUGCUUUGUUAAAGAAUAGUGAAUUGAAACUGUCUAGAAAUGGCUGCUUAGCACAACUUAUACAAAACUUGCUUAGCAUGAGUGGCUAGAUUUGCUGAAGCCUUAGGCCAGGCGUGGGAAAAGUAACGAAUCUUUACUUAGUUUAAUAAAAAAUAGUGCCUCAGAGCUCGUUCAGGCUGGGAAGAUAGGGGAGCCACACGCAGUCUGCGCACCUGUGUCACCGACUCCGAGAGGGAAGACGCCAAAACAAUGGGGAAAAAUAAGACCUUGGGAGACAACCGCCAGACCCAACAAAAACAGAGGUACAACCAUCAUCAGAGACUGCAAAAAACAAGAAUAAGGAGAAAAACAGCUUGCCUGAGAAUGACGAUGAGACCCAAUGAGGAGCAGGAGACCCCAGACCAAAAAAUUAUUAUUGGUCUAACUAUCGCGUGAGGGGUGGGAAAUGUAAGUCGAAAAGACUGUGAUUACCCAGAAUUUGUUUAUGUUAGGGUCCCUCUUCGGAGGCACCCAGCUCGAGCUGUAAUUACGGCACGCGCGUGAUUAAAAUUAUCUGAUUUGUUUUGA
Dromaius novaehollandiae (emu) is the source of this 1422-nucleotide long non-coding RNA. RefSeq lists it as uncharacterized. Lineage: Eukaryota; Metazoa; Chordata; Aves; Casuariiformes; Dromaiidae. The record is from RefSeq and is a predicted model, not a curated record. The transcript has 2 exons.